This is an RNA transcript of Homo sapiens (human), 1425 nucleotides long. It is a transcript of the gene named BCR pseudogene 3, with no coding region annotated. The transcript is spliced from 7 exons. The record is from RefSeq and is marked validated. Lineage: Eukaryota; Metazoa; Chordata; Mammalia; Primates; Hominidae.
ACUCCGUAGUGUGCACUUGGUGAGGGCAGCAGCUCGCCACAGCUGCCAGCCGUCUGUCCAUUCACCCAUCUGUCCAUCUGGCAGCCCGCUGUUCAGACCCGUCUGUCUGUCCGCCCAUCUGUAAGCCCAUCUCUGUCCCAUUGUCUAUCUGACCAUCUUUCUCUUACUGUCCUCUUUGUCUAGCUAUCUGGCCUAUCUGUCGAUCCAUCUUCGUGUCUGUCUUCAGCCCCCACCUGUUUGUCCAUCUGUCCAAUUACCUGUGAGUCUAUCUAUGCACCUUCUUGUCCAUUCAUCUGCCCACCCAUCUGUCCCUCCGUCUGCCCACCGGCCUCCCCUCUCCUUCUGGGCCGCAGAGCCAUGGCCCAGGACUGCAGAGCCAUGGUUGGCCUGGUCCUGCUGGGGCUGGGGCUUGUGCUGGCUGUCAUUGUGCUGGCUGUGGUCCUCUCUCGACACCAGGCCCCAUUUGACCCCCGGCCUUUGCCCACGCCGCUGUUGCUGCUGACUCCAAGGUCUGCUCGGAUAUUGGACGCUGGACCCGCAGGCCCUGCAGGACAGAGACUGGCAGCGCGCCGUCAUCGCCAUGAAUGGGAUCGAAGUAAAGCUCUCGGUCAAGUUCAACAGCAGGGAGUUCAGCUUGAAGAGGAUGCCGUCCCGAAAACAGACAGGGGUCUUCGGAGUCAAGAUUGCUGUGGUCACCAAGAGAGAGAGGUCCAAGGUGCCCUACAUCAUGCGCCAGUGCGUGGAGGAGAUCGAGCGCCGAGGCAUGGAGGAGAUAACAAGGACGUGUCGGUGAUGAUGAGCGAGAUGGACGUGAACGCCAUCGCAGGCACGCUGAAGCUGUACUUCCGUGAGCUGCCCGAGCCCCUCUUCACUGACGAGUUCUACCCCAACUUCGCAGAGGGCAUCGGGUGGCAGAGAAGGAGGCGGUCAAUAAGGUGUCCCUGCACAACCUCGCCACUGUCUUUGGCCCCACGCUGCUCCGGCCCUCCGAGAAGGAGAGCAAGCUCCCUGCCAACCCCAGCCAGCCUGUCACCAUGACUGACAGCAGGUCCUUGGAGGUCAUGUCUCAGGGUCCCAGGGCUGGUGGUUGCUUUGGGUCUACAGCUACGUCUUACCCGCCUCCUGCCUCAACAGCCUGUGUGGUGGCAAAGCCGGUGUGGGGCUGGGGAACGCAGCGUUCUCCAGGAGGGGACCCGGCUCUCCUUCUGCAGUGCAGGCGAAGGCCUAGAUGCCAGUGUGACCUCCCACAAGGCGUGGCUUCCAGACUCCCCGGCCGGAAGUGAUGCUUUUUUGCCGCGGGCCCUGGGUUUGAAGCAGCCUGGCUUUCUCUUGGUAAGUGGCUGGUGUCUUAGCAGCUGCAAUCUGAGCUCAGCCACCUACACACCACCGUGGCCGACACUUUCAUUAAAAAGUUUCCUGAGACGA